This 777-nucleotide ribosomal RNA is filed under the name uncultured Neocallimastigales. RNAcentral describes it as "partial large subunit ribosomal RNA". It matches the Rfam family "Eukaryotic large subunit ribosomal RNA", at positions 22 to 622 of the family's 3401-position model. The record is from RNAcentral. Lineage: Eukaryota; Fungi; Neocallimastigomycota; Neocallimastigomycetes; Neocallimastigales.
CAUAGCGACUAUCGUGGCAUAUCAAUAAGCGGAGGAAAAGAAACUAACAAGGAUUCCCCUAGUAACGGCGAGUGAAGCGGGAAGAGCUCAAAUUUGAAAUCUUAAAGGGUUUCCCUUUACGAAUUGUAGUUUUAAGAAGUGUUUUCUGUUGGAGUUUCGGUAAAAGUUCUUUGGAAUAGGACAUCAUAGAGGGUGAGAAUCCCGUAUUUGACCGUUACUUUCCAGCUGUGUGAUACACUUUCAAAGAGUCGGAUUGUUUGGGAAUGCAGUCCAAAAUGGGUGGUAAAUUUCAUCUAAAGCUAAAUAUUGGCGAGAGACCGAUAGCGAACAAGUACCGUGAGGGAAAGAUGAAAAGAACUUUGAAAAGAGAGUUAAACAGUACGUGAAAUUGUCAAAAGGGAAGCGUUUGACACCAGUGUUGUUUAGUUGAAAAUCAAUUCAAUAAUUUUUGAUUUUAAGUAGUAUUGACUUCAUCAGCUUGCUGCUUUCUUUUCAGAAAUUAUUGAAUGCACUUUUCAGUUAACAAGUCAACAUCAAUUUCUUUUGUUGUAAAAGGGUAAGAGGAAGGUGGCUUACGCUUCGGCGUAAGUGUUUAUAGCCUUUUACCUCUGCAAUCGGAGAGAUUGAGGACAGCAGCGUAGACUCUUCGGGGGUUAGAUACACUUGUGCUAAGCUAUAGCCUUGUAUAGACAACUUGUUGACUAUGCUCAGUCAUGUAGCUUACUCGCAUGAUGCUAUUUUACCUACGCUUAGGAUGUUGAUAGUCACAGCGUGUAC